GUACCCAAAUGCCAAGCUAGUGGUCGUGGACAGGAAGGAUAUUCCGUCCAGGCCGCGAGCAAGGGUUUGGUUACCUUCAACCGUCGAAGACCCGGUAGAGAUUAUGAAACUCAUCCGGGUCUGCAAUCCGGAUAUCCCAACGCAGGAGUGGAGGUAUGUCGAAACACUUACCAACCAAAACAGCGCGGAUGAAUCGAAAGAGCAGAAGCGCGCCACCAUGCAGGCUCUCCUGCUCCUCACGGAGAACUCAAUUGAACCGUUAGCGAAAUGCGACGGGCAACUGAGGUAGGGUUUUGUAAAGGUGAAGCUCCACAUUUACAAAACCGACACGGAUGCAAUUGAGUUCCUCGCCACGAAGGAAAGCGAAAAGCCCAUGAGGGAGCUGGAACCCAUGAGCGAAACCGAGCCUAUGAGCGAGGACGACCAGCCCACCGAAGAAGAAUACGCUUAUGGGCUUAGGGAGGUUGUACUUCGAACGGGAGGAUAAAUCUACACCACUGUAAAGAAGCCUGCCUUGCCCUCCUGGAUCGUCUGGCAGAAGAUCAGCCGGAUGUAGUCCUCAUCCAGGAACCCUGGGUACGGAAUGGCGAAAUCUGCGGUCUGAGGACAUCAGGUUAUAAAGUAUAUAAGACUAAUUGUGAAGUAACGCAGAUACUACGACGGUUGGCUGGGAAGUAAGCGGAAGCAACACCUGGCUAACCUCGUUCUAUUUUGCCGGAGACGACACAGGUCCACUGCCGUCGCCGCUAAUAAGAAGCCUUGUGGAAGACUGCAAAGCUAACAACCGCAAACUAGUACUAGGAGGUGAUGCCAAUGCCCACCAUACCAUAUGGGGGAGCUCGGAUACAAACGAACGAGGAAUCCAAUAUCCUCGAAACUGAAUGAUUUACACAAGGAUGCACGGGUAUUCUACCGACUGCGCCACUUUUAUUUUCCGGAGCGAAGAACAGCGAAAAAAAUAAAACACAUGGUUUUAAAGUUUAAUCAAUAAUAAGCAAGCUUUCUUUAUUUUACACUUUCUUAAAUACUAUUAUUUUGCUUUCCGUUGCAUUUUUGUUAGCGGAAAUGCACUUGGACAAAUAAAUAUACAUAUUGGGG
Long non-coding RNA from Anastrepha ludens (Mexican fruit fly), 1098 nucleotides. RefSeq lists it as uncharacterized. The record is from RefSeq and is a predicted model, not a curated record. The transcript has 4 exons. NCBI's taxonomy places the organism in Eukaryota, Metazoa, Arthropoda, Insecta, Diptera, Tephritidae.